Molecule: transfer-messenger RNA, 357 nt
Filed under: Desulfobacterales bacterium
Lineage: Bacteria; Pseudomonadati; Thermodesulfobacteriota; Desulfobacteria; Desulfobacterales
Also listed under: 2 other names
Rfam family: transfer-messenger RNA
About the family: Bacterial tmRNA, also known as 10Sa RNA or SsrA, is named for its dual tRNA and mRNA-like properties. Its role is to liberate the mRNA from a stalled ribosome.
Source: RNAcentral
GGGGGCGAAAUGGCUUCGACGGGGUUAGAGAAGCAUGGGUUGCAUACCGAGCGCCUGCCGGCUCGUAAAAAAGGUGGGACUUAAAAUAAUCGCAGACGAUUAUAACUACGCCUUAGCCGCUUAACACCGGCUAACGUCCUUCCGGAUCGUUCCUGCGGACCUGGAAAGGGCGUCGAUUAGCAGGAUAUGCCUCUAUCGAUUGCUUGUUACGUAUGAGGCGAAAUUUAUAACAAGAUAACACCUUAAGCAUCCUGCCUGGAGGAGCCUUGAGGUGUGAAAUUUAAAAUUCAGGAUAUGUAUGUAGAAGCCUAUGCGGACUAUCUUCGGACGCGGGUUCGACUCCCGCCGCCUCCACCA